Long non-coding RNA from Dama dama (fallow deer), 2035 nucleotides. RefSeq lists it as uncharacterized. NCBI's taxonomy places the organism in Eukaryota, Metazoa, Chordata, Mammalia, Artiodactyla, Cervidae. The record is from RefSeq and is a predicted model, not a curated record. The transcript is spliced from 3 exons.
GAGGGAAUUAAUGGACAUGAUCAUGUUUGGGGGGACCCGUGAAGGAGAAUCAACAUGUAACUAGAGCAAGAUGCCAUGUGAAAAAUGGCUAUAUGGUCAUGUGUGCUUGGAAACCCUGCUUACCACAGUCUCCUAGAGAUUUCCCCACUGUAGUGUGGAAACUCCGUCCAUCAGAAAUGGAAUGCGAGCCACAGGUGUAGUUUAAAAUUUUCUAGCAGCCACGUUAAAAAAGUGAAAAAGGAACAGACGAAAUUGAUCUUAUUUACCCUUUUCUUUUUCCUUUUCAGCCGCACCCAGUGGCUUGCCAGAUCUUAGUUCCCCGACCAGGGAUUGAACACAGGCCCCCGGCCUUGGCAGCACCGCGUCCUCACUGCCGGACUGCCAGGGUAGUCCCUGAAAUAGAUUUUAAUGAUAUAUUUUAUGGAACCCAAUUUACCCAAACUAUAACCAAUAUUUUUAAAUUAUCUCCCUAAAUCUUUGAUAGCUGGCGUGUAUUUUACAGCUAGUGCACCUCUCAGUUUGGAUUAGUCAUGUCUCAAGUGCUCCGGGCCUCAUGAAGCCAGAAGCUACGUUAUGGGAUGGCUCAGGCUCCAAGAAUCUAUGCUUGGAGGGAAUUCCAAUAUAACCUGAAAAGGCCCCAUGGAGUGACAGGGGAAAUAAUGGGAAAGAAUAGAAGGUGCAUUUACGUUAACUUAAAAGCAAAGAUCUUGGGAGACAGUCUGUCCUGAAAAGGCCUAAAUAACCUAAGUUAGGGUUUAAAAUUUCUCAUUGUAUGUUAAUGACCAAUAUCAGCAUUUCCCCUAAAACCCCUGGAAGAGACUAACAGAGACACUUGUGGUCCAGGCAGAGAUGGGCAGAAGCACCUAUAGUCCAGUCCAGGAGAUGAUAUGGUCUUGUGUUUAUUGACUGUUUGAAUUCUUAUUUAAUCUUGCGUUUCUCUGCUCCUGGGUGUCUACAGGUUGAGGCUGUGUGGUGUUGGACAAUUUUUAAAAAAUCUGCAAACCAUGUACGUUAGCAGCAACCACUUCUCAAACUCUUUGGCAAGAGACAGCUUUUGCUCUGUGUCUCAUCCCACUUUUCUGGUCCCAACCUUUCCACUGUGUCUGUGCGCUGGCGUUCUCUUCACUCCCCAGCCUGACUCCCCCACCUUCGUCUCAUCUUCCAGCCAGCUUUCUUCCCCCAGAUGGAAGAAGCCACAAAUUGAAAUAUUUGGUCCCCUCCUGACCUGCUGUGAAAUACCUCCUCUCACAUACCUCUGUUAAAAACGUUUUAAGAUCCCACAUAUUAAUCAAUGUGAUUCUUUAUCAGCAUCACAUAAUUGUGCCAUGAACCGCAGCCAUAAGUCAAAAGACCUUCUCUAAACUUUCAGUGAUUGCUCUGGACAGUUUUGUAGGAGGGAAGACGGGAGACAUUUAAUCAGACUGGAGUCUUUCAGGAGAGCAUCCAACCUACCUCAGGACUCAUCCAAAGGCCGUUUGCUUUUCUGUCCCAAGCAUUUUGCUAAAUCCAAGUGGAGGUUACUUCCCUUCUUCAGUUGGAGAGGAAAGAUGUGCAGGAAAGAUGACUUAAAAUGACCAAGAUGGAAAGAAAUUUAGGGCAAAGUGCCCAUUUUCCUGUCUGGGUCUAUCUACUCCACCAGCCUGGGACGCCUGCCACUUCCUGCUGCUUCACCCUUUCCCCCAGCUAAGUGGAAUUGCUGGGUCACAUGGGAACUCUAUGGUUAACUUUCUAAGAAUCUGCCAAACUGUUCUCCAAAGUGGCUGCACCAUUUCACAUUCCUACCAACAACACCCGAGGAUGCCAUCUCUCCACAUCCACAUCCUGGUUAUCUACUGCCUUUUUGGUCAUGGCUAUCUGUGUGGAUGUGAAGUUCUAGCUCAUUGUGGUUUUCAUUUGCAUUUCCCUAAUAGCUAAUGAUGUUGAACAUCUUCUCAGGUGUUUAUUGACCAUUUGUACAUUUUCUGAAAAAUGUCUUUUCAAAUCCUUGGCUCAUUUUCCAAACAGUUGGGUUAUUUGUCUUUUCAUUGUUCAGCUG